AUUAGGAUCAAAAUGCAUACCUUAUCCUCCAAUUGAAGCUCCUCUUCCAACUCCACUUGAAGCACCAAUUUCAACUCCACCUGAAGCACCAUCAAAAAUUCCUCCCUCCAUCCUCUUUCCUUCCUUCUCCAAAAUUCAAAUAAUCCAAGAAAACCAAAUUCCAUCCACAAGUGUUUCACGUUGAGUUCACCAAAUAUGUCAUAAUAAGUGAAGUCUUA
This 218-nucleotide long non-coding RNA is filed under the name Physcomitrium patens. RNAcentral's name for it is "long non-coding RNA (PPAT_LNC002074)". Lineage: Eukaryota; Viridiplantae; Streptophyta; Bryopsida; Funariales; Funariaceae. The record is from RNAcentral.